Molecule: unclassified non-coding RNA, 1983 nt
Filed under: Hevea brasiliensis (rubber tree)
Lineage: Eukaryota; Viridiplantae; Streptophyta; Magnoliopsida; Malpighiales; Euphorbiaceae
Source: RNAcentral
CAAACAUAUGCUUCUACAAAUGAAUUUCAAUUUUAUAAAAUUCAAAAAUCAUUAAUAUUAAACAAGCUCACACAGUUUUCUCACGGUAUCACAGACGAUCAAAAAGAGUUCACCUGGUAGAGUAUCACACUAGUAAAGCACAAGAAUGAUUAGGACACCAAAACUGCCACAGGAACACAUCAUAUUGGAGGACUGAGGAGGUGAAGGAAGAAUAAAAAAAAGGUAAAUUACAAAAUUGAUUUAAUUUAAUUCUUUUUACUACGGUUUUUCCUAGAUGAAACAACAGUCCAUCCGUCUUCUCCUUGAGCCUCCUGGCUACCAUCAUCAACCUGCAUGUUUACUUGAUUUGCUUUUGACUGAAAUUUAGGUACAUCAACAGCCAUGUUUGAUCUAUUGUCCACGUCAUCAUCUUCUUCUUCUUCAUCACUAUCAUCAUCUGCAGCCUGGUAUAAAGAAAAGCAAAGUCUAAAGGAACGCCCAAGCUAAUGAAAAUCAUUGAACUUCCAAAUUCUGGCAUGUUAAGUAACAAGAAGAAUUUUCCCAAGCAUUGUAUUCAAAGCAAUAGAAAACAGAUAAAAUUCUUACCAUGGCUCUACCAGAAAAUACCAAAUAGAAACGUAAAAAGAUUUGAAUAGUGCCGGACUACCUACUAAUCCUUCCACCCAAAUGUAUUUUUAGACAGUUUAUCCCCAAGCUAACAAUACCAGAUUGACCUUCUACCAAACCUUUUACCCAAGGGCUCCCAUUGUUGUACCGAGCAGUAAUCGAAGAACUAAAACUAACCAAUAAACAAACUUCUCAAUCUUCCCUUAGGAAGACAAGAAAAUAAUAAAAUCAGAUUUUGGGUUUCUAUCCAUUCAUGUCCUCUAUAUCAAAAAAGUGUUAUAAAGGGAGGAGCAAUAAAAGUUGAAUUGUCAAUGUGUAGGAAAAUUUUAGCAUCUUUAUGACACUGCAAGUUAGAAUGUAGAAAUAUUUUCCAAAGAAAAAAAAGACAAGUCAUGUAACCAUGCAAAGAAUUGAGACUAUAAUUACCUGUCUGAUAUGUUGAUGAGCUCCAGUUCUAGGACCUGCUUGCCUCAACUUUUCAAUAUAGUUAUAGUUACCUUCCAAACACUCUUCAUGCAUGAUCAUUAAUUUUUCUGCAACCUACAUACAGUCGUAGAAAAAGCAGAAUUGCAUAAGAUGGAAAUGAAUCCCUGAAGAAGCUAGCUGCAUUUGAUCACCAGUAUAUUUAUAAAAGUCACCCUUACCUUACAUGUGAAAGUCACAAACAAACUUCAUGCCAAGUAACAAAAACAGUUUAGAAGGCAAAUAGUUACAAACUUCAGAAGUUUAUUAAAAAAAAAAAAAAGCAUAUUAUUGAGUGUUUAAGCCAAAAACAUAAAUAUGAAAAAAACCAGCCAGAAUUACUUGGACUGGUAUAUUGUAAGAAUAUCGCAUCACCAACAGAUCAAAUGGUGAAGGUGCUACUUUUCAUCAGAAUACAUUUAAUUUAUAACAAGUUAGUAACAACUAUUCAAAGCUCUAAUGUAAAGAAGGCAUACCUCUUCAACGCUGCCAUCCUCAAUCAUGGUAUUGAGAGAAAGCAUGCCUUCAUCCAGGAUAUUUUCUAAAUCAUCAAUAUAUAAAGGCUCCUUGGAUUGAGUGAACCAGGAGAAGAUAUCGGAACCAAGCUGGUCAGCUAAUUGUCCAGAGCCACGGCCACCCCACUCAUUCUCAACGGCUAAUUGCAGAGCCGACCAUCUGGAGAGAACAAGAAAUAUGCCUUCUUGGAAUAGAGGCAGUGAAUCUGCAGAUAGAUGCUUUAUGGGUCCAUUAUCUUCGCCGCCGCCGUUCAUGCUGCUGCUGAUUUCGAUUCAAAAUACAGUGUGCCUCUACGCUUUUGAGUUUUGCCUGUGUAAAUCUACAAAUAGGCGAACUAAGUGCCCUCUCACAAGCAAAAUAUAGGAGACGCUAACUAUAAUUUAUAGUAUGAUGCUCGAG